UGGGACGAAAAUCCGUUGGUUUCACGGGACCGUGAGGGUUCGAAUCCCUCUAUCCCCAGC
This 60-nucleotide transfer RNA is filed under the name Leptochilus pteropus. Its description in RNAcentral is "partial tRNA-Leu". Lineage: Eukaryota; Viridiplantae; Streptophyta; Polypodiopsida; Polypodiales; Polypodiaceae. The record is from RNAcentral.